Molecule: RNA transcript, 7499 nt
Organism: Acinonyx jubatus (cheetah)
Lineage: Eukaryota; Metazoa; Chordata; Mammalia; Carnivora; Felidae
Gene: TPO
Gene name: thyroid peroxidase
Exons: 16
Source: RefSeq, a predicted model, not a curated record
UGACGGCGCAGGAGCCUGGCGCAAACCCAAGGGCACAGGGGCCGCUGCGGCUCCCGACACUCGAGUGGGCACUGGAGCGCGAGAGGGUUUAUAGGGCGGCAGCCGCGGCCCCGGGGAGCCAGAGCGUUAGUCUGGGAGGCAAGUCAGAGUCAGGGCUUCAGACCCAAGCUUGUGGGGCUCUGUCGCUGGCGUGGAGACUAGUCAGUGAGCCGUCAGACGCCAGAGGCUCCGGUAACAAGUUGCCCAAAGAGCAGCUCUCGUGGGCGUUGCCCCGAUGGCGUGCGUGCUCUCCAUCGAUUCUGCCGUUAGAAUGAGGGUGCUCGCGGUCCUGGGCGUGGCGCUGCUGGUGGCCUGCUCACACCGCCUCCUCCCCUUCAUCCGGACCGGCCAGGACCUCCUCUGGGGGAAGGGCCAAGACUCUGCUGUGACCCGCGCUGUGGAAGAGAGCAGGCGCAUGGUGGACGAGGCCAUCUACCACACCAUGAAAAGAGACCUCAGCGAACGAGAGAGCCCUUCUCCGUCACAGCUGCUGUCUUUUUCCAAGCUCCCCGAGCCAACCAGCCGCGCCGUCUCCCGAGCGGCUGAGAUCAUGGAAGCUUCCGUGCAGGCCGUGAAGACAAGAGUCUACGGGAAGCUCAGGCGAUCUCAGCCUCCCACCGAUGUCCUACCAGAAGAUGUGCUGAGCACCAUCGCGAACCUGUCCGGAUGCCUGCCUCACAUGCUGCCCCCCACGUGUCCAGACACCUGCCUGGCAAACAAGUACAGGCUCAUCACGGGCGCCUGCACCAACAGAGACCAUCCCAGGUGGGGAGCCUCCAACACAGCCCUGGCCAGGUGGCUGCCCCCCGCCUAUGAAGACGGCAUCAGCGAGGCCAGGGGGUGGAACCCCCACGUCCUGUACAACGGCUUUCCACUGCCCCCCGUCCGGGAGGUGACAAGGCAAGUUAUUCGAGUUUCCAAUGAGGCCGUCACGGAAGAUGACCAAUAUUCUGAUCUCCUGAUGGUGUGGGGCCAAUAUAUUGAUCACGACAUCGCAUUCACCCCUCAGAGCACCAGGAAAGUUGCAUCUGAGGGAGAAGCUGAUUGCCAGUUGACCUGCAAAAACCAAGACCCGUGUUUUCCCAUACAGCUACCCACCAACGGCUCGGGGACCUCAGGCCGGUCCUGUUUGCCAUUUUACCGCUCCUCCGCGGCCUGUGGCACCGGUAUCCAAGGCGCCUUCUUUGGCAACCUGACCUCGGCGAACCCGCGACAGCAGAUGAACGGGCUGACCUCUUUCCUGGACGCAUCCACCGUGUACGGCAGCUCCCCGGCCUUGGAGAAGCAGCUGCGCAACUGGACCAGUGCAGAGGGGCUGCUCCGGGUCAACACGCGCCACUGGGACGCCGGCCGCGCCUACCUGCCCUUCGCGCGGCCACCUGGGCCCACGGGCUGCGCGCCCGAGCCCGGCACCCGCGGGACGGCCCAGGCGCCUUGCUUCCUGGCCGGGGACGGCCGUGCCAGCGAGGUCCCCGCCCUGACGGCCUUGCACACACUGUGGCUGCGGGAGCACAACCGCCUGGCCGUGGCGCUCAAGGCCCUCAACGCGCACUGGAGCGCGGACACCACCUACCAGGAGGCGCGCAAGGUGGUGGGCGCCUUGCACCAGAUCAUCACCAUGCGAGACUACAUCCCCAAAGUCCUGGGCCCCGAGGCCUUCCAGCAGCACGUGGGCCCCUAUGAGGGCUAUGACCCCACCGUGGACCCCACCGUGUCCAACGUGUUUUCCACGGCCGCCUUCCGCUUCGGCCACGCCACGGUGCACCCGCUGGUGCGGCGGCUGGACGCCAGCUUCCGGGAGCACCCCGCGCUCCCCCCGCUGCGGCUGCAGGAUGCCUUCUUCAGCCCCUGGAGGGUCCUCAAGGAAGGUGGUUUGGACCCCCUCGUGAGGGGCCUUCUCUCGAGACCAGCCAAGCUGCAGGUACAGGACCAGCUGAUGAACGAGGAGCUGACAGAGAGGCUGUUCGUGCUGGGGAGCUCGGGUAUGCUGGACCUGGCGUCCAUCAACCUGCAGCGGGGCCGGGACCACGGCCUGCCAGGCUACAACGCGUGGAGACAGUUCUGCGGCCUGCCCGCACUGGAGACCCGCGCCCACCUGCGCACGGCCACUGCCAACGCCAGCAUCGCGGGCCGGAUGAUGGACCUGUAUGGUCACCCGGACAACAUCGACGUCUGGCUGGGCGGCUUGGCGGAGACCUUCCUCCCCCGGGCGCGCACGGGGCCGCUGUUCGCCUGCCUCAUCGGGAGACAGAUGAAGGCCCUGAGGGAUGGAGACCGGUUCUGGUGGGAGAGCAGCGGGGUGUUCACGGAGGCCCAGCGGCGCCAGCUGGCCAAGCAUUCCCUGUCCCGGGUCAUCUGUGACAACACGGGUCUCCCCAGCGUGCCCCCUGACGCCUUCCUGGUCGGAAGAUUCCCGAGGGACUUUGAGUCGUGCGAGAACAUUCCAGGCCUGAACCUGGACGCGUGGAGGGAGGUCCUUCCUCAAGGUGACGCGUGUGGCCUCCAGGGCGGAGUGGACAACGGGGACUGGGCGCUGUGCGGCGAGCCCGGGCAGCGCGUGCUGGUGUUUUCCUGCCACCAUGGGUUUCGGCUGCACGGCCCGGAGCAGGUGGCCUGCUCCCCCCGGGGCGGGCGCUUCCAGCCCUCCGUGUGCAGAGACGUGAACGAGUGUGAAGACACGGCACAGCCCCCCUGCCACCCGUCGGCCCGGUGCCGGAACACCAAGGGCAGCUUCCGGUGUGAGUGCACAGACCCGUACGUGCUGGGGGAGGACGGAACGACGUGCGUAGACUCCGGGAGGCUCCCCAAGGCAUCCUGGGUCUCCGUGGCGCUGGGUGCCCUGCUCGUCGGCGGCCUGGCAGGCCUCACCUGGACGGUGGUUUGCAGGUGCGACGCGGUGACCUCCACGCGUCGGCGCCUCCGUGGCUCCCGCCACGUCCCGACACGUUCAGAGACGCCUGCCCCUGACCUGAAGAGGGACAUCUCCCCGUGUUCCUACACCCUGCAGAAGCAGGUUUUAAACAGCCAAACCUCAUAGCCACGGCAGACAGGUGUGACCGUUGUGAGGCCACUGCUGUGCUCCACGGGUGUCACCGACCAAGGCCAGCCACAGCCCUGCUUCUGUCCCGAGCAGCUGAGGUGAAGCCCCCCCUAGCGUGACGGCCCCCCUCCGCCCAUCCCCCCGCCGAGAUGCUCUGGUAGACCCGGCACCCAUAUCCUUUAAGCUCCAAGACCACCUCUGCCUCGACUUCUGUCCCUGAAGAGUUCACUGUGUGUCUGGUAAGUGGUUUUUAAAGGACACGCUUUGCAGCAGAUUCGUAACGUCCGACAGAACUAACGUUUGCCGCAGUUCAGACGAUACCACGAGGGAUUCCUUCGGGUCACCGUGAACAGGAAGACCCAGACAUCACAGGUCACGCGGGCCAGUAAAUUUAGCUGUUACCUCGUCUAACUUGUCUGUCGGUCACCUGAGUUUUUGUUAUAGGCUGACGUGCGUCCCCCAGGGUCACACGCUGAAGACCCGACCUCUGGUGUCUCGGCACGUGACCACAUGUGGAAGCUGGGUGGCUGUGGAUGAAACUAGUUGAGAUGAGGUCAUGCUGCAGUGGGUGGUCCCAGCCCAGCAGGACUGCCGUCCUCACAGAAGGGGGAUGGGGACAAGGACGCACACAGGGAGAGGCCGGGUGGAGACGAGGGCAGAGAUCGGGGCGUCUACAAGCCAAGGGUCUCCAGCAAACCCCAGAAGCAGGAGAGAGGCUGGAGCGGAUGGUCCCUCACCAGCCCUGCCGACAUUAUGACCUCGGGUGUCUACACUGCAGAACAGGGAGAGAGCAGAUUCCCGUUGCCCAGUCCCCAGGCCGCCACACGGUGUUGCUGAAGCCCCAGAAACUCGUAUGAUAGUGUCGGUCUGUCCGUUUCCAGAAUGUGUCACUUGCCUAGGCUGGUCGGCCACGGAGUAGCCGCGGGAACCUGGGGGCUGCGCGGGGCCGGGGCCUGUCCUCGGCCACCGCGCCCCUGCCUCCUCCUAGUUGACUCUGGCCCGACUGUGGUCGCACCCUCAGGGCUAUUCUGACUGGUCACGGACUGCUCACCGCCCCCCACCCCCCACUUACCUGGCGGGGAGUCCCUGGAGUCGGGUUCACGGAGCAUCUCCAGGUGUAGGACGGCAACCUGUUGUGAGAAUCACUUGCUCUUAGAGGCGCGGACGCUGGUGCCAGUACGCCCGCAGCGAGCCGCUAAGUCAGCAGAGCAGCAGAAACUCGAGGGGCCAUCAGCAAAUACCGCCAGACGGGCUGGGCGCCGCUCCUGACCUGCCAAGUGUCACGCGGCAAGCAGCUGACGUUCCGUAAUCGAGUGCGAAUGUGCGAUUUUGUGUUUGCGAACAUUGCCGUUAAGACACCGGCCCUGGUCACCGGGUUACGCCUGUAGCCCCCACACCAAGAAACUGAGAGCCGUCGGCCCCACGAACACCUUUCCCGGGAAGUCUGGGGGGAAGCAUCCCCGGAGCCUGACGGCCGACUACAGCCGGGAGAACACCUGAGAUCACUCGGCCGAGCGGCUCGAGGCGGAUGCUCACUUGCAAACAGGACGGCAGUUCACGCAGGAACCGGGCUCAGACCACGGCCGGGGCCGCCGUGUGGACCAGGCAGCCACACCCUGAGCCACGAGGGGGUGCAGCCCUGCCACGCCCAGAAGCGCCCUUUCCACUUGCGGGGUCCACUCCCCUCCGCGCCCCGAAGGCCUUUCACCUUUUACUUGAAACUGCUUUGGUCGACAGCUUGAAUUUUCCCAGUUUUCGGUCCUCCCAGCGAUGGGGGGAGGCUUGGAAAGGGGGAGUUUGUCCUCUGGAUUUGAACCCACACAGGGAACAGAGGGAGGGGGCUCAGCUCCUGGUGGGCAGCCCUCCUGGGACAUCUGGUUAGCGGGCGCUCAGCAGGGGGAGAGGGAGAGUCUGGCUGUGCCCACACGGACGGCUCUGCGUGCACGAUCCACAAUCGCCUGGCACCUGGGCCCCUGCUUCCCGCCCAACCCCUGCCGCCAGGCUGGGUGGCCUCACCUGGCGCCCUCCAGCAUGCUGCGCGGUCUGAGCGAGUGUCUCGCGUGGCGGCUGGCCACACGCCUGGGACACCUGUCCUCCUGUCUUGGCCUCUGCUCCCCACGGAGCAAAUUCAGUGACUUCCCAGAGGGUGUAGGCACGGGGCCUCCUUGCCUCCGCUCCAGCCGGGCGGGGGGGCCGAAUCCGAGGCUCCCUCUCUGUCCCGCGCUCCCCUGGGCCCUCUGCAGUCCGGGCACAGGGGACCCCGCGGGAACAAGCGCCCAGCCGGCUUCCCAGACCUUUCCUUCCAGGAGACCAGACGCCUUCACCCACGCUACCCCAGGGAGGGUGGUCCCCCCAAGGCUUGCUGCUGUCGUGUCCUGAGUUCUGGAGACGUCGGAAGUGACCGCGGGGAUGACGGGCUCCCGUGCGGCGGGCACAGCUGGCGGGUGGAGGACGUGUCCGAAUGUCCUGCUGAGUCCUCACUGACUCACCAUCAGCGACACUUCCUUCCUCCCGGAUGGCCGACACUCCCCACACUCUCGCUCAGGUCCUGGUGACCCGCCCACCACAGGAGGAGGCUGGGCUCGGAAAGCCGUGUUCACAGCCUCACGCUCCUGUCUCUCCACACAGCCGGCUCCCUGAGAGCCCGCUCCCACCUCCCGCCACCUCACCAGUCCCGUCUGUCCCCACGUCCCGGGAGCAGGACCCAUGAGCCAGCUUCCCGCUCGCUCCUUACGGAACACGUUGGAAUCAUAAUUCUGUGACAAACGAAAAGGAGGAUGGAAAGGGAAACAGUCCGCUCUAAUGCUCUGUCCACAGAACAUUCUGUUUUUCUUUCCCUGAAAACCUGUUUGUGAAACUACUCGUUCCGAGAACAUGAGGUCUGACGAAGGGAGUUGGUGUGGUGGCCUGUGUGCGGCCGUCGGGGGGUGUGAGUGUUCUGCACACGCAUGCACACACGUGCACACGCAUGUUCCCACUCUGAGCUGACCGCAGCGACCUUCUAACGAAAGGACCGUGUGAACCGAACCCACCACCGCCUUGUCCCUUGAGGCCCUCACGGCUGCCCGCGUGCCCAGCGCCGUUAGGCAGAGACGGAUUGUGGGACCGGAGCUCCAGUGGAGAUGGCAGGAUAAACAGAGGAUACAAGCGGAAGGCUGGCGAACGGGGGGGGGGGGCGGAACGCCCGGGGGCCCGGGGCAGGUGCCGGCGAGAGGGUGUCUCUGGGAGCGGGCCCGUCUCCGUGGGACGUGUGGUUCUGACGGGGCUGUCCCACGCCUGCAGCCACACAUCCCAGACAGAGGGGUCCAGAGAGCACGGCCCCUCCUGGCAAGUGGUGGCCACGUGCUGUGCUGUCCCAGCUCCGUGGCGGACAUGCCCACGCCCCUGGGGCACCCACCCGGCGGGAGAGCUGGGCCGCGGGCAGAGGCGGAGGUGGGGGGGAGGGGAGGUUGAGGCACACAGCCCGUGAGGCUCGUCUGCCCAGGUCUCUGGUCCUUCUGCCUCUCAGCCGCCACCGGUCCUUCCUUUCCCGGCGCCCCAGGCUGCAAACCAAGGUGGCUCGGCUGACGUCUUUCUUCAUAUCCACGUAGACGCACAUCACUGGGACCGGCCCCUCCUCCUGGGGCCAGCUCUGCGCCCGAGGGCCCAGUGCGUCCUGUGCUCACGUCCAUUCGUCCCGCGGCAUUUCCUAGUUUCCCUGUGACCCUUGUGCCCCCAGCUGCUGGGGAGGGUGUUGUGUCCCACGCUGGGGACGCCCCUGCUUUGUGGGGUGGGGGGCCACGGCCAGGACUGGCCCCAGCAGGAGAGGCGCACGCAGCACAUCAGAGACGGUCACGUUCAAACGCAGAGCGUCCUCAGUGAGCGUGAGAAUUGUAACGUCAGUGGGAGUGGGGGUCUUGCCCGUAAUCCCAGUUUUCCGCAUACGGAUUGUGAGUUUCUGACGCGUUUCUGCACGAAUUAAAAGUGCUGUCAGAUAGGGGUGGCAGCACCGGGCUCGGGUGUGGUGGCUGCGGCCGCAGGGCUGGCGCUGGCCCCGCUCUGUGGCCUCCUGACGUCCCUCGUCUGACCGAGGACAGUACAGGCCACGCCGUGCGAGAACGUUCUCGUCGCAGUGAUGCCGCCAGGCUCCUCCCCUGAGAGGUUGGGGUUGGGGGGGGGCUCCCCGGUGCUCCAACACUCCCUCCAGUCACGGUGGCAGCACGGCGUGGGGGGCGGGCCCUUGGGGUCCCUCUGAGGAAAGACAGUCGUAACCAGUGUGUGCUUGUCCACAGGACACACGCGGGCCGCAAAUCUUCACUGCCCAUCGUGCAGACAGGAGGAGCCUCCCAGCCGGGUCCUGGAACAUCCCCGGAAACGGGGGCGCAGCCUGGUGCCUCCACUCGGGGCGCGGGGCAGGACCCGGCCUAUGGAUCGCAGACCC